Chlorocebus sabaeus (green monkey) is the source of this 5802-nucleotide non-coding RNA. The record is from RefSeq and is a predicted model, not a curated record. NCBI's taxonomy places the organism in Eukaryota, Metazoa, Chordata, Mammalia, Primates, Cercopithecidae.
AUGAUCUCACUUACAUGUGGAAUCUUAACAAGUUGAACUCAUAGAAGUAGAGAGUAGACUAGGGGUUACCAGGGCUUUCAGGCUUGUUGGGGGGCAGUUGGGGAGAUGGUCAAAGAACAUAAAAUUUCAGUUAGACAAGAGGAAUACAUAUUCAAGAGAUCUAUUGUACAACAUUGCAACUAUAGUUAAUAACAUAUAUUUUUGAAAAUUGCUGAUUUUAAGUCACCCCCAAAAUGAUAACUUUGUGAGCACAUGUAUAUGUAAUUAGCUUUAUUUAACCAUUCCACAAGGUAUACAUAUUCCAAAACAUGUUGUCUAUAACAAAUAUACAUAAUAAAAUAAAAAAUCCUGACACGGAGCUGGCAUUUCUGAAAUGUUAAUUCCUGGUAAUGCCAUUUCUCAAAUCAAGACUCUACCUGCAUGUACAUACCACAGUCUUCCAUCUUUACUCUGUUUUAGUUCAUGAGAGCUAGAGUUACCCUCAAGAUUUUCUAGUUUAUUGGUUUCCAAACUGGGAUUCCCUAGUUCCCAGGGCCUGGGAAAGUUGUAAGUAGGGUCUGUGGGUUGGUUUCAACAUGCUGAAAUCCUAACAAAAGUCAUUCAUGGGUGGGAGACCAGGUUAAGAAAGGAUCGAGUGUCUUUGCUUUCUCUGUGAUAUGGACUCAUUGUGGUAACUCUGGUUGCAUCAUGAUCAUCAGAAGGCCUGCCUGACAUUUAUACGUCUGAUUCCUCAAGACAGAAAGCUUAUUAAGCUCCUAUUUUAGAGAUGCAUUUUGGUGGGCAACAUCUUUCAAAAACAUGGAAUUUGUGGGAAAAAAUAGAAGUUAACGAAUCUAGGGCGUUGGGAUCCACAAAGUUUAGGUAACUUCCCAAGGUGCCACAUCAGGUUGGUAGCAGUGCCAGGACCAGAACUGGUUUCUGCUGAUGCCUCAUAGCCUGCAUGUUCCACUGCUUGCCGUGCCAUCCAGACCACCUUAUUUUCCACCCGGGUCCUUCAUGUCUAUCAAAUAUCACCUUGGAAACAGGCUUUUAGUCAGGAUAUUGUAGCGUCAAGGGCAACUGAAGUCUCCUUUACACUAGGACCCCAGGAAUCUUGGUAAUGGAGAAGGUAUUUCCGAUCAUUUAUUAUGAUUUGUAAGUUCAGCCAGAAAUUUUUCUUCUACUUCCUUUCUCAAUUAGGGAAAUGUGUGCUUUAGAAGAUUUUAAAUGCUUGGUUACUUAAGAGAGAAAGAAAACUCUGUUGCUUGUUCAUAUUAUUUGUGUUUUUUUUCCAUGCAAAGACAGGAGGUUUUCAGCCAAGGCAAAUCAGAGUGGCUGACAUUCCCACGGGAAAGUGAGCCGGGCAUGAGAACAGGAUGUGUACCUGUCUGGAAGCCGGAGCCUUUGAUGUACAUCCACCAGAGCCCCGGAAGGAAGCUGUUUUGAUAAGCUGUGGCCACCAGGUGGCGAUACACACACGCUGUCAAGUCCAACAGUUUUUCCGACCUGCUGGAUUUUUCCAGAUUACUGAAGCAGGAAAAAAACAAGAAAGACAAAACGGGUCCAGUACUUCAGCUCAGAAUAGUUGAGUUGAAAAGAGGUGGAGAGCCCCCCAGACAGCUUGCUCUCUUCAGUCGUGUGGCAGAGAAUCCACUUGGUGCUCUUCGGAUUGUUUGAGCCAAAGGCCACUGCCUGGUGGUGACGACUAACGUGGAGGCACCCAAACCAGCUCCCACGGCAUCUCUUCUGACAAUCAGUGACUCCAGCAGAUUCUAGCAGCACCUACACAGCCAGAGCCACACCCAGGCACUUGCUUUGCUGCAGUUUGGGAGGGAUCAGUGUUCCAGAGCAGCGGCUCACCAACCUUAGCGUGCCUCAGUUGCUGGGCUCCCAGAGUUUUUGGAUAAGGAAACCGUAGUCCGAAGAGAUUCAAUGAGUGUUCGAGGCAAUUAGCGGCAGUGGUGGGAAUGGAAUCCAGGGCUCCACGGAAGGGAGUGGAGGCAGGACACUGUGAGCCUCUCAGGCCAGGUGAGUAGGUUCUGACCAGCCAGGGCCACUCAACUGGCAGCGACGGGGGUCCGUGUAUGUCAGCUGUUGGGUGAGGAGAGCAGGCACAGAAUGAAGUCUUUCAUAAGGGAGUUACCGCUUGGCCGUCUUCCCAGAAUGCCUGCUAAGCCGAAACUGCCCAAGGGAAGGGGCCUGUGUUGAUCCAAGAAGCCUUACUCUUGUGAAUUUGGAUGGACUGUAGGGACAUCAGAGGAGUUGGAGGAGGUGCGAUUUUCCUCCUUUAGCCAAGCAGGAGUGUGUUAGAUGGGACUGAGUAGGAAGGGGACCAGGGAGCAAGGUGAGGGGAGUUCAUCCCAGGUGCUACCCGGGCCUGGCCAGCAGAGCAGUCCUAUGUGUGUAGGGGACAGACUCCUCCAUGUCAACCAUCACCUUGUCUUUAGUAUGUUGCAGAGGCAGGGCACCUCUUCUCAGGGAUAUGGGACGGACAGCUGCUUCCUAACAUCCUUAGGAAGAUUUUCCCUGGAAAAUGAUGGACUGAGACAGGAAUACACUCAGGAAAUAAGAAGGAGAGGUGGCUAAAUACCUCACAGUUUUUGUUUUGUUUGUGGACCACACAGGUUUGAAUGUUUGAGUUCCUAGCAUUUUCCCCCACUCCCUUUUUCUUUCUUACCUGCAUUCUCUGGGGGCUUUUUAGGGUUUCUAAUUAGCCUUUUCCUGCCCCCACCAGAGUCCCUCCACGGUGAGGUGCUGCAGACUCAUAAAGCUUGUGACUUCACCUGGAGCUCGUGAUUCAUUCUGGCACCUGAAAAGCCUGGGACCAAAUGAUUCCUGAUUUCUGCAUUCUCCUUGGGUUCCAGAGGGCUCAGAGCUGUGGUAUAGGAGAGGGGCUCUGAGAAAACUCAAUGUUAAUUUUCAGGAUUUUUGUGAUCUAGUUAAUAUCACACUGGCCACUUGAAGUUGGCCAAGGUAGGAGAGUGUUUACACCACGGGAGUUAGCAAAUGCUACAAAUCAGGACCUUUUUUCCCCAGAUACUUCGUUGUUAACCUUUUACCAGCAUACUGCUUGCUAAGCGAGGGGUGCAGGAUUCUGAGAAGUUUUUGGAGCAGCUUUUAUUCAAGUUCCCAGAGACCCCUUAGAGCUCCCCAAGAAGGUUCAGUGGCCUAAUACCCUAAUUCCAGGCAGCAAUCUGUUUGGGUGUUGGAUACCCUGGGAGAGACGGGCAGGGGAGCCAACACUGAGUGAUACUCUGGGCUGGACAGUGACCAGGCUCCUUCUGUCCCAUGCUCCUGGCUCCCAUCACCUGUGUGACUAGGGAACCACUCCAGGGCAGAGUGGCCACAUUCUUUAAUGUGAUGGCAAGGCAGGCCCGGGGCUCUGAGCCUCCUUGGAACUCCAUGCCAGGACCCUCCUCUUUCCCUUCCUUAUCUUUGGAUGGCAGUCACACAAGACCCAGAUGUCAAACUAUCUCUAAUUCCUAACCAAGGCAUGUGGGGUUUGGCAGGCCCCCAGGCAUCUGACUAUGACUUUGAACCACCUUGACCUUGUUUGUGUGAUCAGCGCCUCAGGCAUUGUACAUGGGCUCUGCUUCCUCCUACCUCUCCAAAACUUUCUCUCCCAACCUGCCAUCUCCAACUGCUCGCGAACACAAAUCACAACACAACAAAAUGAAAAUUUAUAAACCAACAAAGCAACAACAAAAACAAAUGUAACUCCCCUCUAAACGAGAAAACCACAAACAACAUCCUCUCCCACCACCUCGGGGGGGAAACUAACUUGCUGCCUUCCAGAAAUGAUAGAAACAUGCUAUUGAAAAAGCACUCAACACAUGAAUCACGCGUCCUCCCACAACUUCAUCUGCAUGAAAACAGACAACUCAUUUGCUUCCAUCCCUAGUGUUUCUGCCCAGAAGUUACUAUCCUUUGGUGGCCUCAGAACUGGUUGCUCCAAGAGAUGGCUGCUGGAGAAGAUGCCAGGGGCCUGCUGGUACUGACAUGUCCCAGGAGAGGGAAAGGCGGGACAAUGACUGAAAGACCCAGUCUCGGAGAUGACCGGUGUGGUUCCCAUGUCUGCAGUUUCUGAUGGGAUCAAGAGAGGGUGAUGGAGCUGCCCAAGGUCAUCCUGGGAGUGUGUGCAGAAAUGGGACAGAGACAGAGCCGGUCAAGUCCUGAAGUUCCAUUCCAGAUGUUACAGUUGGCAAGGCUUAGACCAGGCCAUUGCCCUCACAGUACAGGCACAUCAUGCCCAAGGGAAAUGAGGGCAGCUGAAAUAUCACUUUGCAUGGGCAAGAGCACAGCACAAGAAUCGAAUACUGUGUGCGGAUGGGAAUCCUACACUGAACCACCAGUCGCCGCCUUUCCUGGGAGUCAGAUUUCUCCUCUGUCUCGGGAAGGGCUUGGACUAGAUCAGGAUUUGACAAACUAUGGCCCACACGCUAAAUCGAGCCCGCUGCCUGUUUUCGUCUGGCUAGUGGACUGAGAAUGCCUUUUACCUUUUUAAAUGAUUGAGAAGGAGAGUAACGUUUUCAUAAUGUAUGAAAAUUAUAUGAAAUUCACAUUUUGAUAACCAUAAAUCAAAUAUGAUUAGAACACAGCCAUGGCCAUUGUUUUAUGUAUUGUCUAUGGCUGCUUUUGUUGAGUGCUUGUGACAGAGACCGCAUGUGGCCCACAGUUGAAUACGUUUACAGUCAGACUAGAUGACUCUGCCAGGCCCUUGUGGCUCUCGCAUUCUAGACAGGGCACUUAGGGGUCUUUCCGUGGGCCCUGUCAACCUCGAGUAUGCUUGUGAAUCCUCCAGUGGUUUCUCAGUGCUGCUUCGGACCCCUUGUCCCGGUUGGUUUCUCGGCAAGGGGCACAGAAAAAUGGGAAGAAGGUGAUUCUGAACAGGGAAGAGAGAACUAUUAUGAUUCUAUUUUGAUCAACCAAGAGCGAGAUGGCUACUGACAUUUAUUCUAGUUUCCCCAGUGUCUCUAAAAGCUCACACUCAUGGCAGAAUUUCUAGUGGGCUUGAGACAAGGACCAGCCUCUGGGAAGGGUCUUUAUCAGAGCAGACUCUCAGGAGGGAAAAGACCAUUUUUUUUUUUUUCUGAGUUUCCUGUUUCACUCUCUGCCUUUGUGCGUUACAACAGAUCGGGAGACACGAAUCUGGACAGUUACGCAGCCGGGGAAGGGCCUUGGAUGAAGCGCUGCCCUGCGGGGAGCGGGGUCCUGUGGUCAGCUCCUCCCAGCCCCGGUGCGUCCUGGACCCGGGCCUUGCUCUUUGACUCCCAUGUCCUGUGCCCACUUGCUGUGUUCUGUGGCUGGGGCCUGUUUACCACCCUCCACCCGCAGCUGUUUCUUUAACCAUAGAGACCAAGCCAUUCUGAAAAUUCUUCCAACUACAACUUGCGGGCAGUUAUUAUGACGCCGCCACCGCUGCUGCUUUGCCCCUCUCGUCACGGGAAAAUAAACAAGCAGACAGCUCAGGAGAGCCCAUGGCACAGAAGAUGUGGUGACAGAGGAUGGUGUGGGGGUGUGGUGGGCACAGGGAAUUGUCUCCAUCCACAAAUGCACAGCAAGGCCAAAACACAGCUCAGAGUUUCUUGGGCCACUUUUCUACCCAUCUGGGAAUCUCCUCUAAACCUCACCUGACAAGUGGCCUCGAGUCUCAGCACUUUCCCUCAUCGAAAAGUGCUCUUCUUUCUUCGGUGACUGCUGUCGUGGUCUUCUCACUCCCCACCCAGCAUGUCAUGUCUGUCUGAUUCUCUCCAGGCUGAACAUCUCAUUUGUCAUGAUUUCUUUCUCUCUCUCUUUUCUUUUUGUUUUGAGACAUGAUCUUGC